RNAcentral lists this long non-coding RNA (352 nucleotides) under Androctonus crassicauda. Lineage: Eukaryota; Metazoa; Arthropoda; Arachnida; Scorpiones; Buthidae. The record is from RNAcentral.
UUUUUAAAUGCCCUUUAUACAUUUUGGCUAUUUUAAAUUCGAAUCGAAUAAUAACUCCUCUUAAGAUACUCUCAUCGAUAUGUGUUUACAAUUAUACGUUAACGUAUUUAUUAUGCAGGGUGGUUCAAAACUAUAUGUCGGAAAUGUAAAGGCAAAUAAAGGGGACCUAAAUAAGCAGAUUUUAUAUAGGAAUGUGGGUGCAGAAAUGCUGCGAGAGGGUGCUAUUGAGUUCCACGGAAGAAAGCGCUUCGCUGACUUGAAUCGCUUUUCCUCACACGGAUUUUGAGCAACAUUUGACCUGCUUAGAUUUCUUUUGGGGUUACAUUAAAAACAUUGUGUACGAUACUCCCAU